Dendrobium catenatum is the source of this 106-nucleotide small nucleolar RNA. NCBI's taxonomy places the organism in Eukaryota, Viridiplantae, Streptophyta, Magnoliopsida, Asparagales, Orchidaceae. The record is from RefSeq and is a predicted model, not a curated record.
AAUCAAUGUGACGGAAUUUUUCAAGCAUUUCCUUAAAUCACUCUCAACUUUCAUAAAUUUACUCACCUUCAAACUGGGAAAAAGAUGAAAUAUCAUUCCUAAGAUU